GAUGAACGCUGGCGGCGUGCUUAACACAUGCAAGUCGAACGAUGAAGCCCAGCUUGCUGGGUGGAUUAGUGGCGAACGGGUGAGUAACACGUGAGUAACCUGCCCUUGACUCUGGGAUAAGCCUUGGAAACUGGGUCUAAUACUGGAUAUGACUUCUCAUCGCAUGGGGGGGGGGGGAAAGAUUUAUUGGUCUUGGAUGGACUCGCGGCCUAUCAGCUUGUUGGUGGGGUAAUGGCUCACCAAGGCGACGACGGGUAGCCGGCCUGAGAGGGUGACCGGCCACACUGGGACUGAGACACGGCCCAGACUCCUACGGGAGGCAGCAGUGGGGAAUAUUGCACAAUGGGCGCAAGCCUGAUGCAGCGACGCCGCGUGAGGGAUGACGGCCUUCGGGUUGUAAACCUCUUUCAGUAGGGAAGAAGCGAGAGUGACGGUACCUGCAGAAGAAGCGCCGGCUAACUACGUG
Molecule: ribosomal RNA, 466 nt
Filed under: uncultured bacterium
Lineage: Bacteria
Description: partial 16S ribosomal RNA
Rfam family: Bacterial small subunit ribosomal RNA
Source: RNAcentral